This 373-nucleotide ribosomal RNA is filed under the name uncultured organism. Its description in RNAcentral is "partial 16S ribosomal RNA". It matches the Rfam family "Bacterial small subunit ribosomal RNA", at positions 526 to 896 of the family's 1533-position model. The record is from RNAcentral.
GUAGGGUGGCAAGCGUUGUCCGGAAUUAUUGGGCGUAAAGCGCGCGCAGGCGGUCCUUUAAGUCUGAUGUGAAAGCCCACGGCUCAACCGUGGAGGGUCAUUGGAAACUGGGGGACUUGAGUACAGAAGAGGAAAGCGGAAUUCCAAGUGUAGCGGUGAAAUGCGUAGAGAUUUGGAGGAACACCAGUGGCGAAGGCGGCUUUCUGGUCUGUAACUGACGCUGAGGCGCGAAAGCGUGGGGAGCAAACAGGAUUAGAUACCCUGGUAGUCCACGCCGUAAACGAUGGGUGCUAAGUGUUAGGGGGUUUCCGCCCCUUAGUGCUGCAGCUAACGCGUUAAGCACUCCGCCUGGGGAGUACGGCCGCAAAGGCUG